Molecule: long non-coding RNA, 1108 nt
Filed under: Vulpes vulpes (red fox)
Lineage: Eukaryota; Metazoa; Chordata; Mammalia; Carnivora; Canidae
Description: lncRNA (ENSVVUG00000010323.1)
Source: RNAcentral
CUAUGAACAGGCUCCCUUUGAUCCUCUGAGAAUUUCCAAGUUGAAAACACCAUGUGAGAUGACUCCUUCCCUUGGGAUACGGGCUGCAUCUGACCUUGUCCUAUGGGUACAAAUGUGAAUAAGAGAUCAUCUCUACUGUCAAGGAGCUCUAGUCAAGUGUGAAGGUGCAGGAAUGAGGCUGAAGUGUGGUAGAGACAAGACACAAAGGACCUUGUGUGCUGUUCUAAGGAGUUUGCAUGUGAUCCNCUAGUCAAGUAAGUUGCAGGAAUGAGGCUGAAGUGCGGUAGAGACAAGACACAAAGGACCUUGUGUGCUGUUCUAAGGAGUUUGCAUGUGAUCCCACAGGCUGGUGGCUGCAGGGCCUCAGGAGUGAGAUGGAGAAUAACUGAAGUCCAAAGUCCGGUGAUGAAAUGGGAAGACUGUCAUCGUCAGAUGUUUGCCCGAGAAGGAGGCACCUGGAUGGAAGUUCUGUGGGUGCUUAUGAGAUAUGACAACACUUAUUGUUUUCAGUGAACUUUACUUUUCACUUAAUGGUAGUUAAAUGCUACAAUUAUGCUGGAUUUUGUCCCAAAGUAGGAAGAGAAGCAGAAAGCAAACACACACACACACACACACACACACACACCUUCAAACCAACAUGCAUUUCCCAAGGGUUAAAUCCAGAAAAGUUAGAAGCCCGGUUAGGAACAUGGGCCAGUGAACAAACAUAGAUUUUUCUGACAUAUUCAGCAUUAUCAUGUCAAGUUUCUGACCCUAAUCAACCAAGGUCAUGAACAGACUAGUCCUUUUAAAAAUUCUAUGAAAGAAACUGCUGUGCGUUUUUCUCUCUGGACUCUGGACUCUCUCACUUGGAAUACAAAUGUGGCCUGGCUCUUCCAAGCUUUGCUCGAAAGGACUUUAAGCCUGAGCUGAGUUCUCAGUGAUUUGCUGCCUCCAUCAGGAUCAGAGAAGAAUAUUCCUUAAUGCAUUUCAAUCUGUUUAACCCUGGAGGAUGCAAUGACUUUUGGGUGAAAAUGAAGCAGUAGGGUCUAUUGGAGACGGAGACAUUGUUUAUCUGGGUACAGAUUUUAAUUAGACUUUUUCCCAUAUUAAAAAAAAAAGAUGCCUA